GAAUAUCUCCUUCUUCCAACUUUUUUAAUUAAAAGUCUUUGGACAGAAGGGUGCCUGGGCUUGCAUGUAAGUUUACUCAUGCUUGCCUUAAAUGCAUUAGCUGGUACUUCAGUAGAGUUGUUAAGUAACAUUGAAAACUCUUGUAAUCGAAGUCUGCUUCAUAAUCAUCUCAUUUAGGUGAGAUACAUUUCUA
RNAcentral lists this unclassified non-coding RNA (193 nucleotides) under uncultured Exobasidiaceae. RNAcentral describes it as "sequence contains ITS2". Lineage: Eukaryota; Fungi; Basidiomycota; Exobasidiomycetes; Exobasidiales; Exobasidiaceae. The record is from RNAcentral.